GCCUACGGGGGGCGGCAGUAGGGAAUCUCCCACAAUGGACGAAAGUCUGAUGGAGCAACGCCGCGUGAGUGAAGAAGGGUUUCGGCUCGUAAAGCUCUGUUGGUAGUGAAGAAAGUUAGAGGUAGUAACUGGCCUUUAUUUGACGGUAAUUACUUAGAGAGUCACGGCUAACUACGUGCCGGCAGCCGCGGUAAUACGUAGGUGGCAAGCGUUGUCCGGAUUUAUUGGGCGUAAAGCGAGUGCAGGCGGGUCAAUAAGUCUUAUGUGAAAGCCU
RNAcentral lists this ribosomal RNA (274 nucleotides) under uncultured bacterium. RNAcentral describes it as "partial 16S ribosomal RNA". It matches the Rfam family "Bacterial small subunit ribosomal RNA", at positions 337 to 603 of the family's 1533-position model. The record is from RNAcentral.